GAAAUGCUUCAGGACCGGCAGACGUGCAUGAUUCCCCAGUGACAGCAGGACUACAAAAGCCAUUCACAACAUCCCUGUUGAUUCCACUUUACUUCUUGCUUGCUCAUAAACCUGCAAAAGGAUUAACCAAGAAGUUUCACAGAAAUCGCCACAGUAUUCUUUCUAACCCUUCUCUUGCUGCCCUGGUGCAACCAAAUUCCUAUUGAAAACACUGGAUAUUUGGAGCACACAACACUUCUUCCUAAAGCAGAGGAAAGGGGCAGAAGGCAGUGGUAAGGCACAGUCACAUCUCCACCGUUACAGUUAUUCAGAAGCAUGACUCUGGAUGGAUCCAAACCUGUUCUGGGAUGCAUGACAACAGUCCCCCGACAAACAACAACAAAAAAGGAGUAUUUGAAAUAGGAAGAAAUGCGAGAAAAAAAUAACAUCUGCAAAGAAACACUGCAAAGAAAAAACAUCUGGAACUUCUAUAGCAGAUUAUGCAAAAGAAUACCCUGCCCACAAAGACUUUGUUUUACCUAUCCAUGAAAAACAGCUGCUGAGUCAGUUAGAAUCAGCCCACUCCAUUUGUCUAUGCUUCAGCUUUCAAGCUAACUAAAGUUUCUACCACUUAACACAAUGCUAACUGUUCGAGCAAGACAUAUUGAGCAAAGACAAAUACCAUCCUACCUAGGGGCCUCUCUGGUCCCUGUGAAUUCAGACAAAACACUGCAAGAGACCUCAUCCUGUGAAGUGAUUCUGGGCCUCGACACAACUGUUGCAGCAAAAAUGUGGAACUGAGAGUAAAGCGGAGGCAAGUUUCAAGUCCCUGUCAGUAAGCCCUGCUGUGGCAACCUCACACACCAAAGGGAUGGUUUCUACCAAGGUUUUCCACAUGCCCAUUGGCACCACAGAGUUACGAAGAGGAAACGCAACCGCUGUUCUCAAGAAAUCACACACGCCAGCUCUGCAGGACAUUAUGGCUGUUCUUGUGCAGGCAGGAGGAUUUCCAAGCAGUUCG
Gallus gallus (chicken) is the source of this 1000-nucleotide long non-coding RNA. The record is from Ensembl. NCBI's taxonomy places the organism in Eukaryota, Metazoa, Chordata, Aves, Galliformes, Phasianidae.